Molecule: ribosomal RNA, 254 nt
Filed under: uncultured prokaryote
Description: partial 16S ribosomal RNA
Rfam family: Bacterial small subunit ribosomal RNA
Source: RNAcentral
UACGGAGGAUCCAAGCGUUAUCCGGAUUUAUUGGGUUUAAAGGGUGCGCAGGCGGAAGAUUAAGUCGGCGGUGAAAUUUUGCAGCUCAACUGUAAAAGUGCCAUCGAUACUGGUUUUCUUGAGUGUGGAUGAAGUAGGCGGAAUUUGUGGUGUAGCGGUGAAAUGCAUAGAUAUCACACAGAAUAUCGAUUGCGAAGGCAGCUCACAAAGCCAAGAUUGACGCUGAGGCACGAAAGUGUGGGGAUCAAACAGGA